Bos indicus x Bos taurus (hybrid cattle) is the source of this 1587-nucleotide long non-coding RNA. NCBI's taxonomy places the organism in Eukaryota, Metazoa, Chordata, Mammalia, Artiodactyla, Bovidae. The record is from Ensembl.
AAGCGCCAGGGAAAACCUGCGCCCACAUUUGAUGCAUAAACAGAACCCGGCACAGGUGCGCAUCCGGGCCGGCUCCGGCCCCGCCGCAAUUCAUCAGCUCCCAACAAAUGCUUCUUUAUAAUCAGGAAAUAGAAACCCUCUCUGGCCGAGCGGAGAAGGCUGAGCGCGCUCCUCCCACCUUUCCGGGCCGCUGCGCAAGGGGCGGACUCCAGGCGGGGCGGCUUCAUAAACCAGAGGAAUUUGGAGCGGAACAAGCCAGGGGCUGUGGACCUGGAUUCGCCACUUUGGGGUGCCAUGUCCGCCCCUCCCCCCAGCUCUGGGGGUCACCGGAGGUCAGAGAUCCUUCUCCCAAGGUGCCUCUUCGCAGCUGGACUCUCCCUGGUGACAGGGACAGAGGCAUCUCGCUGAAUCCCACACCAACCGUCGACACGUCUGGUAAUGUUCACAAGAGACCUAGUGGUCUCAGCCCACUUUUCAGCAAGAUUUAAUAGCACAAGACGACUGUGAGGCCUCAAGCUACCGGGAAGAGAAGUGUUUGCAAACCUGUGGUUUGGAGAAAGCUGCGCUCAAAACAACUAUUCAGAUUUUAAUUUACAGCCUGCGGAUUUGCAGGGAAGAAGAUUUCUGGUAAAAUGGCAAUUAAUGGGAUUUUAUCCCCAAGCCUAAUUCAUUUCUUGCCUUUUAACUCCUUUGCCGCUGUCUCUUCGGGCCACUACCUUGGCUGGCAGGAUCAUUUCACCCAUGAAUGAGGUCAUGCAUUCAUUCAUUCAUUCAACAAACAUCUACGAAGCAGAGACCAUGUACAGGCAUUGAACUAGGUUCUGGGAGUGAUGGAUGAAUAAGACUUCCAUCUCUGCCCUUGAGGAAUGGGGUGCCUAGUGGGGAGAGAUGAGCAUUAUAAGCACAAGGUUCAUACUAGAAGCAUGGUGGGUGCCACAGGUGGAGAGAGGAGUCUUGGUUGCAAAUCUGUAGUUCAAUGACCAAAUCCCAGCCCCUAGAUUGGUUUUCCUUGGACUGUGGAGCCUUAACAAAAAUGUAGCCAGCAUUUGGAUAUACUGAACGAUUUCCCAAAAUAGAUCACGACUUUGGCUUCUCUUGAAUCAUCUGAAGAUCGGGCUAUUGGGGGCUUGUGUUUGGAGACAACAAGAGUGUAAGUGGCGCUGAGUACUGGCUGCCCCCUUUUGAUGGGACUUGCACUUGUCCAGCUAGUUAGAGUGACCAGGAUGUCCGCACCGUGCAUCUGUGCCCUUUAUCAGGCCAUCUCCCCCCCGGCAGCCGGCAGUGUUUGAAUGGAGAGGCAGAGAGGGAUGAAUCCCUUCACUAGGUAGGGCAGUAUCUAUGUGUCAUCGUCCCAGGUGCUUGACUCAGGUCCACAAGCUCCUCCGUGACCUGGCCUCUUUUUAUCCGGCUGUUUCUAGUAGUCGCUCCCAAGCACCCGAAUCUUCUGUCUCCUAUGCCCACUGGCACUUCUGGGAAUGGACCCUGCUGUUUUGUAUCCCAGAAGCUGUGCUGUCUACUUGGCUAGCCUGCAGCCACAUGUGCAUAUUUAAGUUACAGUGAAUCGAAACAAAAUAAAGUAAAAUAUCA